Molecule: long non-coding RNA, 104 nt
Organism: Gavialis gangeticus (Gharial)
Lineage: Eukaryota; Metazoa; Chordata; Crocodylia; Gavialidae
Exons: 3
Source: RefSeq, a predicted model, not a curated record
GCUGGCCAGCGACUGUCAUCCUUCCCUGAGGUCCCUUCCAAUCCCAGUGCUCUGGAGAAGGGAUGGAAAAACGGCAUAAAAAGCAGCACUGUUUAAGUGAGCAG